This 450-nucleotide ribosomal RNA is filed under the name uncultured bacterium. RNAcentral describes it as "partial 16S ribosomal RNA". It matches the Rfam family "Bacterial small subunit ribosomal RNA", at positions 354 to 796 of the family's 1533-position model. The record is from RNAcentral.
GUGGGGAAUUUUGGACAAUGGGCGAAAGCCUGAUCCAGCAAUGCCGCGUGCAGGAUGAAGGCCCUCGGGUUGUAAACUGCUUUUGUACGGAACGAAAAGCUCUGGGCUAAUACCUCGGAGUCAUGACGGUACCGUAAGAAUAAGCACCGGCUAACUACGUGCCAGCAGCCGCGGUAAUACGUAGGGUGCAAGCGUUAAUCGGAAUUACUGGGCGUAAAGCGUGCGCAGGCGGUUUUGUAAGACAGUGGUGAAAUCCCCGGGCUCAACCUGGGAACUGCCAUUGUGACUGCAAAGCUAGAGUGCGGCAGAGGGGGAUGGAAUUCCGCGUGUAGCAGUGAAAUGCGUAGAUAUGCGGAGGAACACCGAUGGCGAAGGCAAUCCCCUGGGCCUGCACUGACGCUCAUGCACGAAAGCGUGGGGAGCAAACAGGAUUAGAAACCCGAGUAGUCC